GUUGGCCCUAGGAGGUAAAAUGCUCACAUUCUACCAUGACCUCACAAAGGCAACACUUCUGCAACGCAAAGCUUUUGGCACUGUCACAACUCCGAGCAGCAAACCUGGCCUACAAAUGGGGAGCAAACUGUACAAUCAUACUCACCUGAGAUGGGACUACUCAUACACUAACAGCAAUGAAUGAGGCACCAACAUUCCUACAUAAC
Pelobates cultripes (western spadefoot toad) is the source of this 206-nucleotide non-coding RNA. Lineage: Eukaryota; Metazoa; Chordata; Amphibia; Anura; Pelobatidae. The record is from the annotation of a GenBank genome assembly.